UCAGACAGCUGAUGGUACAUUAUGUCAUGUCACCCACAAGGGUUCUCUUUCCAAUUCUAAUUUUACUGUUCUAAAUAUAUUUUUUGUACCUGAGUUAUCCAUGGAUCUACUAUCAGUUGGUAAAAUUACCUAUCACAGUUGUUUUGUUGGAUUUGAUGACUCAUCUUGUUUUGUACAGGAUCGUCACACAGGGGAUGUGAUUGGGACUGGUUGUAGUCGUAAAUCUUCGCCUCGCCUUUACAUCUUGGACACAUUGCGUCUUCCUUCCUACCAUACCUAUACACCACAUGUGCUUGCUGCUUCAGGUCCCACGACGUCGAUUGCCCAGUGGCAUCAUCGUCUAGGUCACUUAUGUGGAUCUCGUCUGUCCACUCUAAUAAAGUCAGGAUGUUUAGGCCCUACACAUGUUGAGUCUAGUUUUCAUUGUAAAGGUUGUCAUCUUGGAAAAAAAAUACAACUUCCAUAUUUUACUAGUGAUUCUAAUUCUACUAAACCUUUUGAUCUAAUUCACUUUGAUGUUUGAGGUCCAGCUUCGUUUGUUUCAAAAGGUGGUCAUAAAUAUUAUGUCAUUUUUAUUGAUGAUCAUUCUCGUUAUACUUGGAUUUGCUUCAUGAAACGCAUCUCGGAAUUGCCUUCUAUUUAUAAGUCCUUCACUCGCAUGGUUCACACCCAGUUUUCUGCUACUAUUAAAAUAUUUUGUUCCGAUUCUGGUGGUGAAUUUUUAUCUGACAAUUUUCGCCAGCUAUCGACCUUAGAGGGUACUCUAGCUCAGCUUUCUUGUCCUAGUGCUCAUGCCCAAAAUGGUGUUGCUGAACGCAAACGCCGUUAUAUUAUUGAGUGCUCGUACUAUUUUGAUAUCUUCUUUUGUUCCUUCACACUUUUGGAGUGAAGUUGUUUCCACUAUUGUGUAUCUCAUUAAUAGACAACCAUCAUCUAAACUUUUUGGCAAAUCUCCGGGUGAAGUUCUUUUUGGGACUCCUCCACGAUAUGAUCAUCUUCAUGUGUUUGGAUGUAUAUGUUAUGUCUUGUUACCACCACGUGAGCGGACCAAAUUGACUGCUCAAUCUGUAGAAUGUGUAUUCCUUGCAUACAGUAUUGAACACAAAGGCUAUCAUUAUUAUGAUCCUUCUACUCGUCGUGUUCGAAUUUCUAGAGAGGUGAGUUUCAAUGAAAAUCGGCCCUUCUUUCACAACCAGUCUACUCACUCCUCAUAUUAUCCCACAGAAUCUACUUCUUUCAUGUGUCUUCCUUCCAUUCUUGCAUCUGCACCAUCAUCUUCUACAUCCACAUUUGAUGUUCUCAUUCUCAUAACACCACCUUCCACCUCCACGUCAUCUUCUUCUUACUCUUCCAAACCACCUGUCAUCCAAACCUAAAUUCGUCGUUCCCGCUCUAUUUCUACGGUUGGUCCUGAUACUGAUCAUGUACCUGAUUCUUGUACUGACAAUAAUGAGUCUAAUGAUGUUUUUAAUCAGGGAUAUCGUCUUCGUGACCGUGGUACCAUUGAACCUCCAGAUCGCUAUGGUUUUCCACAGGCUGGUGUGGCAAUUGUUGAACCCACUACAUAUCAGGAAGCUUCUGGGAUUCUCGAGUGGCAGCUAGCUAUGAUUGAUGAAUUGGCUGCUCUUGAACGCACUGGUACAUGGGAUAUCGUUCCUUUACCCUCGCAUGUUGUUCCUAUCACAUGUAAAUGGGUCUUCAAGGUUAAGACAAAAUCAGAUGGUUCCAUUGUGAGGUAUAAAGCUCGUCUAGUGGCUCGUGGUUUUCAACAGACUCAAGGACUUGAUUAUGAUGAGACUUUUGCACCUGUUGCGCAUAUGACUAUUGUUCGAACCUUGAUUGUAGUUGCAGCCUCAUCUUCUUGGACUAUCUCCCAGAUGGAUGUCAAGAAUGCUUUUCUCAAUGGUGAUCUACAAGAAGAAGUUUAUAUGCAUCCUCCUCCGGGGGUUGAUACUCCCUCAGGGCAUGUUUGUCGUCUCCGUCACGCAUUGUAUGGGCUGAAACAAGCUCCUCGUGCUUGGUUUGAGCGAUUCAUCUCUGUCAUCACAGCUGCUGGUUUUUCUUCUAGUGAACAUGAUCCUGCAUUGUUUGUUCAUGUCUCUCCAAAAAGCCGCACGAUUAGGGGCAAUUAGUCACUCGAUCAGCCAAUUCUGCGCGACUAGGGUUUAUGAUCCUGAAAUUUUGAUUUCGUGGGCUUUUUUUGGCGGGCGGCCCGACUACAGGGAGAUGGAACGCCAGCGCCGUCUCUACUCUCUAUAAAACCGACGGUUCACAUCUCCUACGUUCCUGGCAUCUCGAUCUCUUUCCUUUUCUUCUCUUCUUCUCUAUUUUCCUACCGGCUGCUAGACUUCUCGUUCCAGACUUCACCAGUACACCGGCUGACCGGCGAUCAUCUGUGCGUGUUGCGCGGUUCCAGUUCCAGACUUCACCGGCCCAGAUUUCUCGUUCUAGACACGCGCGGUUCCAGAAUCCAGAUUUCGCCGGCAUGAGUUCAUCUUCUGGAGAGUUUGGUCGUCGUCGUCGGGAUAAUGUUGAAGUGCUCUUCCUAGAAUCACAAUUUGUGGGCAGCGGCAAUCCAUCUUCUGUUGCGGAUAACAAUGAUCUUGCUUCGGCAUCAUCAGUCGUUACGGAUUCUGCAGCACUCGUUGAGAAGGCUAUUGCAAAGUUGCCUGCUGAUGUUCGUGCGCAUGCAACUGAUUCAAAGAGAAAAGCCUAUGGAGGAUUGGCAUAUGAACACCAAAGCCUUGCAAAAAGAAUUAUAAGCCUAUGUUGCUCAGCAUCUGGUUGUGAAAGAAACUGGAGUGACUUUGCAGCAAUCCAUACAAAAAAGAGAAACAGACUGGAGCACAAGAGACUAAAUAAAUUGGCCUAUGUAAGCUACAACAGGAAGAUGGAUAAUAGGUUCACAAAUAUAAGAGAGCUAGGUUCCAAGGGAAAGAGAAGCAAUCCACUGUUGCUUGAAGAGUUUACAUAGCAAAAUAAAUGGGUUGAAGAAGAAUAUGAUGGUGACAACAUUUGGGGUGCUGUGGAUGAAGCUCUAGGUGCAACUCAGGGUCUCCGGAGCCGAAAUUUGCCUAGGACUGCUGCUGCUACUGCAGGUGCUGGUUCCUCCUCUCAAACUCAGACACAAACCUAUGUUAGAACCAAAAAACGACCCAGAAAUGCAGCAGCUACAGCUCAAGGCAUACGUGAAUAAGAUGACAAUUCUCCUGCUGAAGAUGAACAAGAACAAGAGACAGCAAGACAAAUGAAUGAUGAUGAAGAUGAAGGCAAACAAGAAUCAGGUGGAAGGGGAGCUGCAGGUGAUGAAUUUCAGUUGGAUGAAGAUCUUCUUUAGGUAACUGGGUGGUAAUGUGUGUUGUGUGGUAUCUGGGACUGGUAGUAUUAGUAACUAGUAAGUGUUUCUUUGUUGUUUUCAGUAUUGCUGAAUUCAUGUCAUGUUUACCCUAUCCUUCAUAUAUAUUAAAUAGUUAUAUAAUUAUAUACUAUAUAGUAUAUACUAUAUACUAUAUACAUAGGUCCUGGAUGAAUAGGACGACUAGUAAACGACCAGGUCGACCAAAGGUCGAUUAGUCGACCUAGUCGACGACUAAUCGAGAUUAGUCGCAUGGUCGUUCCCCCAGUUCGACUAGCUGGUCGAGCGACCAGAAAACAUAGGAUGCAAUGAGUGAAAAAAGGCCAAGACAAUCAAGUGAAUGAGUGAUUGGAUCCUAACUGAUGUAUAAAACCCAAAUAAGUUUGUCAUACAACUCCAGAAAGGCUUACCUUAGCUCCUACAGUUGCAGAGCACUUUUGGGUUGUUGGAACAGUUAUUUUCGUAAUUUUAAAAUUUACAGAGACAUUUGCAUUCAUAUGUUACAGCAAACAAUGAGUAUCAAUGAAUGCAUUGUGCCGAGAAAUGGGAAAUGACUU
Molecule: long non-coding RNA, 3912 nt
Organism: Zea mays
Lineage: Eukaryota; Viridiplantae; Streptophyta; Magnoliopsida; Poales; Poaceae
Exons: 3
Source: RefSeq, a predicted model, not a curated record